This 465-nucleotide ribosomal RNA is filed under the name uncultured bacterium. RNAcentral describes it as "partial 16S ribosomal RNA". It matches the Rfam family "Bacterial small subunit ribosomal RNA", at positions 28 to 507 of the family's 1533-position model. The record is from RNAcentral.
GACGAACGCUGGCGGCGUGCUUAACACAUGCAAGUCGAACGGAAAGGCCCCUUUGGGGGUACUCGAGUGGCGAACGGGUGAGUAACACGUGAGUAACCUGCCCUUGACUUCGGGAUAACUUCAGGAAACUGGGGCUAAUACCGGAUAGGAAUCCUUGCUGCAUGGUGGGGGUUGGAAAGCUUCGGCGGUUUUGGAUGGACUCGCGGCUUAUCAGCUUGUUGGUGGGGUAGUGGCUUACCAAGGCUUUGACAGGUAGCCGGCCUGAGAGGGCGACCGGCCACAUUGGGACUGAGAUACGGCCCAGACUCCUACGGGAGGCAGCAGUGGGGAAUAUUGCACAAUGGGCGGAAGCCUGAUGCAGCAACGCCGCGUGCGGGAUGACGGCCUUCGGGUUGUAAACCGCUUUCAGCAGGGGCGAAGCUUGUGGUGACGGUACCUGCAGAAGAAGCACCGGCUAACUACGUG